RNAcentral lists this ribosomal RNA (274 nucleotides) under uncultured bacterium. RNAcentral's name for it is "partial 16S ribosomal RNA". It matches the Rfam family "Bacterial small subunit ribosomal RNA", at positions 523 to 796 of the family's 1533-position model. The record is from RNAcentral.
AUACGGAGGGUGCAAGCGUUACUCGGAAUCACUGGGCGUAAAGCGCGCGCAGGCGGCUAUUUAAGUUGGAUGUGAAAGCCUAUGGCUCAACCAUAGAACUGCAUCCAAAACUAUUUAGCUAGAGUGUGGGAGAGGAAGAUGGAAUUAGUUGUGUAGGGGUAAAAUCCGUAGAGAUAACUAGGGAUACCAAAAGCGAAGGCAAUCUUCUGGAACACUACUGACGCUGAGGCGCGAAAGCGUGGGGAGCAAACAGGAUUAGAAACCCCAGUAGUCC